Molecule: non-coding RNA, 704 nt
Organism: Arachis ipaensis
Lineage: Eukaryota; Viridiplantae; Streptophyta; Magnoliopsida; Fabales; Fabaceae
Source: RefSeq, a predicted model, not a curated record
UCUCUGUUUUCAGUUCCAUUGAAUUUAUUUCUGUUUUCGAUUCCAUUGAGUUUGAAUUCUCCAUUUUGCUGUAACCAUGGUCACUGUUGUUGGAAUUGCUGACGCCGCUCUCGGUGCUGAUUGGAUCAACCACCAUAGCUAUUCUGCAUCACCUUCACUUUCCAUCAUUUCUGUCAGGUUCCGUUCUUGCCGGGGAUGGCCGUUGGAUUUGUAACAGCCCCAACUUUUGUUUCCCUCUUGAUUCGGUGAGUUUUUCUUGUUUUGAAACUCUCGCUGUUAGUGAUUUGUUAUAAUUUAUUUAGGAUUUUGUGACGUUAACGUUUUAGGGUUGAGUUACUAUUGUGUACGGUGCUUCUAUAGAUGUCACUGCUAUGAAAAAUGGUCGGAUUCAAUGUCGUUGAAUUUGGGCCAAGAGAAAAGAAUUUUUAGUCGCUUUUGGCUUUGUGGGUUUCGACUAAUUGAGGAAUCGGAUGAAAGAGCAUUAUGAAGAGUUAUACUGCGUUUUGGUUUAUAUGAUAUUGUAUUAAUUAGAUAAUUUUUCUUCCCUCAUCUUUGUUAUUACAAUUUUGUAAGAGGGAUAGAAAUUGUAUGUUUUAUAUGUAUAUUACAUUAUAAGCUAUUAUGUAAGAAGUCUGGUAUAUGAAUCUAUGCCUGUUUAUUUUUUUUUAAGAUAAAGUAUUUAUUUCCGGGUUAGAAAGAAAUCA